UUAUACAACUUUCAGCAACGGAUCUCUUGGCUCUCGCAUCGAUGAAGAACGCAGCGAAAUGCGAUAAGUAAUGUGAAUUGCAGAAUUCAGUGAAUCAUCGAAUCUUUGAACGCACCUUGCGCUCCUUGGUAUUCCGAGGAGCAUGCCUGUUUGAGUGUCAUUA
This 163-nucleotide ribosomal RNA is filed under the name Calvatia gigantea. RNAcentral describes it as "5.8S ribosomal RNA". It matches the Rfam family "5.8S ribosomal RNA". From Rfam's summary of the family: 5.8S ribosomal RNA (5.8S rRNA) is a component of the large subunit of the eukaryotic ribosome. It is transcribed by RNA polymerase I as part of the 45S precursor that also contains 18S and 28S rRNA. The record is from RNAcentral. Lineage: Eukaryota; Fungi; Basidiomycota; Agaricomycetes; Agaricales; Lycoperdaceae.